This 428-nucleotide ribosomal RNA is filed under the name uncultured bacterium. Its description in RNAcentral is "bacterial SSU rRNA". It matches the Rfam family "Bacterial small subunit ribosomal RNA", at positions 355 to 797 of the family's 1533-position model. The record is from RNAcentral.
UAGGGAAUAUUGCGCAAUGGGGGAAACCCUGACGCAGCGACGCCGCGUGAGUGAUGAAGGACUUAGGUUUGUAAAGCUCUGUUCUCAGGGAAUAAAAAAAUGAAGGUACCUGAGGAGAAAGGACCGGCUAACUUCGUGCCAGCAGCCGCGGUAAGACGAGGGGUCCUAGCGUUGCUCGGAAUCAUUGGGCGUAAAGCGGGUGUAGGUGGUUAACUAAGUCAGGAGUGAAAGCCCUGGGCUCAACCCGGGAAGUGCUUUUGAAACUGGUUAACUUGAGUGUGGGAGAGGAUAGUAGAAUUCCUGGUGUAGUGGUGAAAUACAUAGAUAUCAGGAGGAAUUCCAGUGGGGAAGCCGGCUAUCUGGCCCAACACUGACACUCAGACCCGAAAGCGUGGGGAUCAAACAGGAUUAGAUACCCCCGUAGUCCC